CUUCGUGGUUAUUAGAGUUAUGCCUUUGCUUUUCCUGCACCUUAGGGAUAUGGGACUAACUAUGAACACCUGGAUGGAGCAUAGGUAGGUAUGUGCAAAAUCCUGGAAUAUCACUUCUAGGAAGACGUCCAAAUCUUGAUCACUUGUUGGAACAGGUAGGGAUGCAAAUGGCUUUUCAAAUUGUCAUUUUUGUUAAUGUAGGUCCUAGAUUCAUGGUUUUCUUAAGAUUUUAUAUCAUCUUAGCUUUAUGCAUUUAAUGA
RNAcentral lists this long non-coding RNA (260 nucleotides) under Citrus x clementina. RNAcentral's name for it is "Citrus clementina (C. clementina) long non-coding RNA (CCLE_LNC002638)". The record is from RNAcentral. Lineage: Eukaryota; Viridiplantae; Streptophyta; Magnoliopsida; Sapindales; Rutaceae.